ACCCUCGGCGCCAAGGGGGAAGAGCUGCAGGCUCCCUGCCUGAGGGCCCAAGAUUCCGCGUCUUAGAAGUAUUGGAAACUUUUGAAAUUCUUUCUGAAACCAGAUAUUGAAGAUCACACUGUUUAUUUUAAAUUCCUGUCUGCCAUGCCACCCUGCCUUGGAGCC
This is a long non-coding RNA of Fukomys damarensis (Damara mole-rat), 165 nucleotides long. RefSeq lists it as uncharacterized. The transcript is spliced from 3 exons. The record is from RefSeq and is a predicted model, not a curated record. Lineage: Eukaryota; Metazoa; Chordata; Mammalia; Rodentia; Bathyergidae.